This 497-nucleotide ribosomal RNA is filed under the name uncultured bacterium. RNAcentral describes it as "partial 16S ribosomal RNA". It matches the Rfam family "Bacterial small subunit ribosomal RNA", at positions 28 to 507 of the family's 1533-position model. The record is from RNAcentral.
GAUGAACGCUGGCGGCGUGCCUAAUACAUGCAAGUCGAGCGAACAGAUAAGGAGCUUGCUCCUUUGAAGUUAGCGGCGGACGGGUGAGUAACACGUGGGUAACCUACCUAUAAGACUGGGAUAACUUCGGGAAACCGGAGCUAAUACCGGAUAACAUUUAGAACCGCAUGGUUCUAAAGUGAAAGAUGGUUUUGCUAUCACUUAUAGAUGGACCCGCGCCGUAUUAGCUAGUUGGUAAGGUAACGGCUUACCAAGGCGACGAUACGUAGCCGACCUGAGAGGGUGAUCGGCCACACUGGAACUGAGACACGGUCCAGACUCCUACGGGAGGCAGCAGUAGGGAAUCUUCCGCAAUGGGCGAAAGCCUGACGGAGCGACGCCGCGUGAGUGAUGAAGGGUUUCGGCUCGUAAAACUCUGUUAUUAGGGAAGAACAAAUGUGUAAGUAACUGUGCACAUCUUGACGGUACCUAAUCAGAAAGCCACGGCUAACUACGUG